CCUACGGGAGGCAGCAGUGGGGAAUAUUGGGCAAUGGGCGCAAGCCUGACCCAGCAACGCCGCGUGCAGGAAGAAGGCUCUCGGGUUUUAAACUUCUUUUAUCAUGGACGAAGCAGGUGACGGUACCUGAUGAAUAAGCCACUGCUAACUGCGUGCAAGCAGCCGCGUUAAUUAGUAGGUGGCAAGCGUUAUCCGGAUUUACUGGGUGUAAAGGGCGUGUAGGCGGGAAAGCAAGUCAGAUGUGAAAACCAUGGGCUCAACCUGUGGCCUGCAUUUGAAACUGUUUUCCUUGAGUACUGGAGAGGCAGACGGAAUUCCUAGUGUAGCGGUGAAAUGCGUAGAUAUUAGGAGGAACACCAGUGGCGAAGGCGGUCUGCUGGACAGCAACUGACGCUGAGGCGCGAAAGCGUGGGGAGCAAACAGGAUUAGAUACCCGAGUAGUC
This 443-nucleotide ribosomal RNA is filed under the name uncultured bacterium. RNAcentral describes it as "partial 16S ribosomal RNA". It matches the Rfam family "Bacterial small subunit ribosomal RNA", at positions 338 to 795 of the family's 1533-position model. The record is from RNAcentral.